GGGCACGGGGGGCCUACGGGGAGGCAGCAGUGGGGAAUAUUGGACAAUGGGCGCAAGCCUGAUCCAGCCAUGCCGCGUGAGUGAAGAAGGCCUUCGGGUUGUAAAGCUCUUUUGUCAGGGAAGAAACGGUGGGGAGCUAAUAUCUCCUGCUAAUGACGGUACCUGAAGGAAUAAGCACCGGCUAACUACGUGCC
RNAcentral lists this ribosomal RNA (194 nucleotides) under uncultured bacterium. RNAcentral's name for it is "partial 16S ribosomal RNA". It matches the Rfam family "Bacterial small subunit ribosomal RNA", at positions 322 to 509 of the family's 1533-position model. The record is from RNAcentral.